RNAcentral lists this transfer RNA (65 nucleotides) under Deltaproteobacteria bacterium. RNAcentral's name for it is "tRNA-Met". It matches the Rfam family "tRNA". Rfam says of the family: Transfer RNA (tRNA) molecules are approximately 80 nucleotides in length. Their secondary structure includes four short double-helical elements and three loops (D, anti-codon, and T loops). Lineage: Bacteria; Pseudomonadati; Myxococcota; Myxococcia. RNAcentral also lists the same sequence under 1 other name. The record is from RNAcentral.
GGGCUGGCGAAUAAACCUCCCGGCUCAUAACCGGGCGGUCGAAGGUUCGACUCCUUCUCGGCCCA